Molecule: long non-coding RNA, 313 nt
Filed under: Elaeis guineensis (African oil palm)
Lineage: Eukaryota; Viridiplantae; Streptophyta; Magnoliopsida; Arecales; Arecaceae
Description: long non-coding RNA (EGUI_LNC046931)
Source: RNAcentral
UCUCUAGCUUGGUCAGAAACAAACAAUUGACCAACUUGGUCCACUGGUCGACCUUGUUGCCUCACAGGUGGAGUCAGUCAUGCCCCAAAGCUCAAGUUGGUCUAAGGUAGGGGUUUGCUGUGCCACUUCCACUCCAUUCUUUUCUUUUAAUUGUUUUAAUUGUUUCAUCUUUUUCUUGAUGCUUUCAGAUUGCCAUAACCUUGACGCACUUGAUUUGUAUUGUGUCUCUAGCUUGGUCAGAAAUGAACAAUUGACCAACUUGGUCCACUGGCCGACCUUGUUGCCUCACAAAUGGAGCCAAGUCAUGCCCCAA